Molecule: ribosomal RNA, 445 nt
Filed under: uncultured Alphaproteobacteria bacterium
Lineage: Bacteria; Pseudomonadati; Pseudomonadota; Alphaproteobacteria
Description: bacterial SSU rRNA
Rfam family: Bacterial small subunit ribosomal RNA
Source: RNAcentral
GUGGUUUAAUUCGAAGCAACGCGCAGAACCUUACCAGCCCUUGACAUCCCGGUCGCGGAUCGCAGAGAUGCUUUCCUUCAGUUUCGGCUGGACCGGUGACAGGUGCUGCAUGGCUGUCGUCAGCUCGUGUCGUGAGAUGUUGGGUUAAGUCCCGCAACGAGCGCAACCCCCGCCUUCAGUUGCCAACGGUUCGGCCGUGCACUCUGGAGGAACUGCCUGUGACAAGCAGGAGGAAGGUGGGGAUGACGUCAAGUCCUCAUGGCCCUUAUGGGCUGGGCUACACACGUGCUACAAUGGCGGUGACAGAGGGAUGCAAUACCGCGAGGUGGAGCAAAUCCCUAAAAGCCGUCUCAGUUCGGAUUGUUCUCUGCAACUCGAGAGCAUGAAGUUGGAAUCGCUAGUAAUCGCGGAUCAGCUCGCCGCGGUGAAUACGUUCCCGGGCCUU